This 2774-nucleotide ribosomal RNA is filed under the name Escherichia coli. RNAcentral's name for it is "partial 23S ribosomal RNA". It matches the Rfam family "Bacterial large subunit ribosomal RNA". The record is from RNAcentral. Lineage: Bacteria; Pseudomonadati; Pseudomonadota; Gammaproteobacteria; Enterobacterales; Enterobacteriaceae.
CACACUAUCAUUAACUGAAUCCAUAGGUUAAUGAGGCGAACCGGGGGAACUGAAACAUCUAAGUACCCCGAGGAAAAGAAAUCAACCGAGAUUCCCCCAGUAGCGGCGAGCGAACGGGGAGCAGCCCAGAGCCUGAAUCAGUGUGUGUGUUAGUGGAAGCGUCUGGAAAGGCGCGCGAUACAGGGUGACAGCCCCGUACACAAAAAUGCACAUACUGUGAGCUCGAUGAGUAGGGCGGGACACGUGGUAUCCUGUCUGAAUAUGGGGGGACCAUCCUCCAAGGCUAAAUACUCCUGACUGACCGAUAGUGAACCAGUACCGUGAGGGAAAGGCGAAAAGAACCCCGGCGAGGGGAGUGAAAAAGAACCUGAAACCGUGUACGUACAAGCAGUGGGAGCACGCUUAGGCGUGUGACUGCGUACCUUUUGUAUAAUGGGUCAGCGACUUAUAUUCUGUAGCAAGGUUAACCGAAUAGGGGAGCCGAAGGGAAACCGAGUCUUAACUGGGCGUUAAGUUGCAGGGUAUAGACCCGAAACCCGGUGAUCUAGCCAUGGGCAGGUUGAAGGUUGGGUAACACUAACUGGAGGACCGAACCGACUAAUGUUGAAAAAUUAGCGGAUGACUUGUGGCUGGGGGUGAAAGGCCAAUCAAACCGGGAGAUAGCUGGUUCUCCCCGAAAGCUAUUUAGGUAGCGCCUCGUGAAUUCAUCUCCGGGGGUAGAGCACUGUUUCGGCAAGGGGGUCAUCCCGACUUACCAACCCGAUGCAAACUGCGAAUACCGGAGAAUGUUAUCACGGGAGACACACGGCGGGUGCUAACGUCCGUCGUGAAGAGGGAAACAACCCAGACCGCCAGCUAAGGUCCCAAAGUCAUGGUUAAGUGGGAAACGAUGUGGGAAGGCCCAGACAGCCAGGAUGUUGGCUUAGAAGCAGCCAUCAUUUAAAGAAAGCGUAAUAGCUCACUGGUCGAGUCGGCCUGCGCGGAAGAUGUAACGGGGCUAAACCAUGCACCGAAGCUGCGGCAGCGACGCUGAUGCGUUGUUGGGUAGGGGAGCGUUCUGUAAGCCUGUGAAGGUGUGCUGUGAGGCAUGCUGGAGGUAUCAGAAGUGCGAAUGCUGACAUAAGUAACGAUAAAGCGGGUGAAAAGCCCGCUCGCCGGAAGACCAAGGGUUCCUGUCCAACGUUAAUCGGGGCAGGGUGAGUCGACCCCUAAGGCGAGGCCGAAAGGCGUAGUCGAUGGGAAACAGGUUAAUAUUCCUGUACUUGGUGUUACUGCGAAGGGGGGACGGAGAAGGCUAUGUUGGCCGGGCGACGGUUGUCCCGGUUUAAGCGUGUAGGCUGGUUUUCCAGGCAAAUCCGGAAAACUAAGGCUGAGGCGUGAUGACGAGGCACUACGGUGCUGAAGUAACAAAUGCCCUGCUUCCAGGAAAAGCCUCUAAGCAUCAGGUAACAUCAAAUCGUACCCCAAACCGACACAGGUGGUCAGGUAGAGAAUACCAAGGCGCUUGAGAGAACUCGGGUGAAGGAACUAGGCAAAAUGGUGCCGUAACUUCGGGAGAAGGCACGCUGAUAUGUAGGUGAAGCGACUUGCUCGUGGAGCUGAAAUCAGUCGAAGAUACCAGCUGGCUGCAACUGUUUAUUAAAAACACAGCACUGUGCAAACACGAAAGUGGACGUAUACGGUGUGACGCCUGCCCGGUGCCGGAAGGUUAAUUGAUGGGGUCAGCGCAAGCGAAGCUCUUGAUCGAAGCCCCGGUAAACGGCGGCCGUAACUAUAACGGUCCUAAGGUAGCGAAAUUCCUUGUCGGGUAAGUUCCGACCUGCACGAAUGGCGUAAUGAUGGCCAGGCUGUCUCCACCCGAGACUCAGUGAAAUUGAACUCGCUGUGAAGAUGCAGUGUACCCGCGGCAAGACGGAAAGACCCCGUGAACCUUUACUAUAGCUUGACACUGAACAUUGAGCCUUGAUGUGUAGGAUAGGUGGGAGGCUUUGAAGUGUGGACGCCAGUCUGCAUGGAGCCGACCUUGAAAUACCACCCUUUAAUGUUUGAUGUUCUAACGUUGACCCGUAAUCCGGGUUGCGGACAGUGUCUGGUGGGUAGUUUGACUGGGGCGGUCUCCUCCUAAAGAGUAACGGAGGAGCACGAAGGUUGGCUAAUCCUGGUCGGACAUCAGGAGGUUAGUGCAAUGGCAUAAGCCAGCUUGACUGCGAGCGUGACGGCGCGAGCAGGUGCGAAAGCAGGUCAUAGUGAUCCGGUGGUUCUGAAUGGAAGGGCCAUCGCUCAACGGAUAAAAGGUACUCCGGGGAUAACAGGCUGAUACCGCCCAAGAGUUCAUAUCGACGGCGGUGUUUGGCACCUCGAUGUCGGCUCAUCACAUCCUGGGGCUGAAGUAGGUCCCAAGGGUAUGGCUGUUCGCCAUUUAAAGUGGUACGCGAGCUGGGUUUAGAACGUCGUGAGACAGUUCGGUCCCUAUCUGCCGUGGGCGCUGGAGAACUGAGGGGGGCUGCUCCUAGUACGAGAGGACCGGAGUGGACGCAUCACUGGUGUUCGGGUUGUCAUGCCAAUGGCACUGCCCGGUAGCUAAAUGCGGAAGAGAUAAGUGCUGAAAGCAUCUAAGCACGAAACUUGCCCCGAGAUGAGUUCUCCCUGACUCCUUGAGAGUCCUGAAGGAACGUUGAAGACGACGACGUUGAUAGGCCGGGUGUGUAAGCGCAGCGAUGCGUUGAGCUAACCGGUACUAAUGAACCGUGAGGCUUAACCUUACAACGCCGAAG